This 1561-nucleotide long non-coding RNA is filed under the name Canis lupus familiaris (dog). RNAcentral's name for it is "lncRNA (ENSCAFG00845021210.1)". Lineage: Eukaryota; Metazoa; Chordata; Mammalia; Carnivora; Canidae. The record is from RNAcentral.
CCAUGUCAUUACAAAUGCCAAGAGAUAGGUUUUACCUUCCUAUGAUAGUCAUAUCAUCAAAAGAAACUUUAUUUAGAUGACUGCAAUAUCAUUUUUUAAAAGAUUUAUUUAUUUAUUUAUUUAUUUAUUUAUUUAUUUAUUUAUUUAAGAGAGAGCCUGAAAGCACAAAGCAGGGGAAUGGCAGAGGGAGAGGGUGGAUGUGAGGCUCCAUCCCAGGACCACAGGACCAUGCCCUGAGCCGAAGGCUGGUGCUUAACUGACUGAGCCACCCAGUCAAGGAAGCCAAACUGAUAUAUGAUUCAGUUGGGGAAGAAGGACACAAUGACCCAUUAAUAGUGGACAUGAUUGUCAUUCUGCAGAAUGCUGCCUGGAGCUAGCCCACAAUCAGAAUUGCCACUGAUUUCAGAAGAAACUUUGUACAAGAAAAAAAAAAUGAAUUCAGAAUUAUUUCAUCAUUGAUCCCCAUGAUUUGAGUAAGAACUUAAUGUAUGUGGCUUCAAUGGGAAAGUUACUGAAAAUAUUUUGACAAUGCCCAGUGUUAUAAAAAAAAAUGUAUUAGGGAUUACAACAUCUAACAUUUGCAGGAUACUUUACAGCACUUCUUCUCUUAUAUAAUAGAUGUGAGCACAAGAAAUAGAACCUCACUUAUGAACAUGUACUGAGUAAUAGAGCAAGUAUAUAAUAUAGUGUAAGCUACUCUAACCCUGUAAGAUUGGGAAAGAAUAAAACCAUUGUCAACAUUUAUAUAGCCACUCUGUUUUUGUUCCACUAGUACAGAUGAUUUAAGAUGAUUUUUUGAAAAUCUCAAUGACAUUGAAAAGCAAUCUGUCUGAGCGGCAGGUGAUCUGGUGGACCUAAGCUUUGGCAGAGAGGGAGACCUUCUCCUGUUCUGGGGCAUAUAUUUGAAUCUGUUAACAAAUACAGGAGUGUUUGACUCUUAGUGAGGUAUGUUCGGAGACUUGGGGAAUUUGGAGGUUGAGAAAGAAAGGAAAAGAGAGAAGAUUGGGAGAAAGAAUCUGGAAGAACAGUGCAGAAGGCACGGCUUCUCACUGCUCUACCUCUACUCUACCCCAACACACUGGGUCCUGUGCACUCAUUAGAUCCCUGCAAAAAGAAGUGUUAGAAUCAGAAGCUGAAACUUUCUCGUGAUACUUUGUUGGACUGAGCACAUAUCAGUGCUGUUUUGAGACCCAGGUAGGAAAGGACAGAGUGGAAUGGGGGCAUUAUCUUAAUUGCUGGGUGGGUGGAUCAAAUCACACCUACCAAGUGCCUUGUAGGAUUGGAGCAGCAGAAAAGCAGAAUUUACAUGGAAGGUCCUAGCUACAGGGUGGGCGCCUCCUUCAAACAGAUUUUGAACAAGAAACUUCCACCAGGAAACUAUAAUAGAAUCAUUUCUGCUGGUACUAUUAUCACACCAAAUUAAAACUUACUUAAAAUGAUGUAGCACAGGGGCACCCGCCUGACUCAGUCAGUGGAGCAUGCAGCUCUUGUGGGGUUGUGAGUUCAUGGAGUAUGGAGAUUACUUAGAAAGAAUCUUAAAAAGAAAUUAUACAAAAAAAAA